ACUGUUGUAGUCAGAGCAGAGCAUAGAACUUCAGAUGAAGUGUGGAUAUGGCACAGGCCAGUGAUUCUUCAUGCAAGGCUCUGCAAACAGCAUUGGAAGAGAGAGUAUGUCAGUUUUCCACCAGCAACUUCCACCAAGGCACAAGCACACAAGUUUAAAGAGACCUUUUCAUCAUCCUUGAAAGAGACAAUAAGAGCCUUGUACAACAUGAUUAUUAGCUUAUGGUCCAGAUGUUCAUCCUGUCUCUCAAAACUAUGUUGAUAAAAGGGCUCCACUAUUAUGGGUUGCUUUAAGGUCUUCCAGCUGUUUCAUCUCUCUAGAGAAGGCAAAGUCAGAAAAAAUAGAAUGACUUGUCACAUUAUAUAUGAUUGAUAGAUAGAUAGAUAGAUAGAUAGAUAGAUAGAUAGAUAGAUAGAUAGACAGAGACAGAGAAACAGAGAGAAAGGUAGAGAGAUUAGAUUGAUAGACAGAUAGACAGAUAGAUAGAUAGAUAGACAGAUAGACAGAGACAGAGAAAGAGAGAGAAAGGUAGAGAGAUAGAUUAGAUUGAUAGACAGACAGACAGACAGAUAGAUAGAUAGAUAGAUAGAUAGAUAGAUAGAUAGAUAGAUAGAUAGAUGGAUAGAUAGAUAGAUAGAUGGGUAGAUGAAUGGAUGGAUGAAUGGAUGAAUAGACAGAUGGAAAAAUGGAUAGAUACAUAGAUACAUACAUAGAUAUAUAGAUACAUAGAGAGAGAAAGAGAUAGAUGAAUUAUUGAGAGAUAAUGAUACAUGAAAGAUUGUAAAGAGAUAGAUGAUAGAUCAAAAAAUAGAUAGUAGGUAGAUAAAUAGAUAGAAUGAACACUUAUUAAGCCCUUAAUAUGUGUCAGGUACUAAACUAAGCACUAAGAAAACAAGAAGAUUCCUAUCCUCAAGGAGCUUACGCUCUAGUGACGGAAGACAACAACUAAAGGAGUGCUACAAGGGGUAAGGUAAGGAAGGCAGCUGGGGUAGGGAUAGAGAAGCUAGAAGAGGAGACAAUUUGAGGGAAGCAUGUGAGAGGCAAGAAAAAAAAAUUCUUCAUGUAGAGAUUAAAUUUUUCCAGAAAGAAUUCAUAGGUCUUUGAAUCUUGAGAAAAUCAUAAGGAACUCAUAAGCUCCUAUCUAUCUGAGCUUGUAUAAACAGAAGCCUGAACAGAGGCAGGGACCUAGAUUAUAUGGUCCUGUGCAGCUCUAUACUCAAUGGGGCCUAUGGACAGAGCUGGAAAACUCCUAGAGAAAGAG
RNAcentral lists this long non-coding RNA (1261 nucleotides) under Monodelphis domestica (gray short-tailed opossum). RNAcentral's name for it is "lncRNA (ENSMODG00000046320.1)". The record is from RNAcentral. Lineage: Eukaryota; Metazoa; Chordata; Mammalia; Didelphimorphia; Didelphidae.